UGGUGAAGUCCAUGCUUUAGGCGC
Molecule: non-coding RNA, 24 nt
Filed under: Arabidopsis thaliana (thale cress)
Lineage: Eukaryota; Viridiplantae; Streptophyta; Magnoliopsida; Brassicales; Brassicaceae
Source: RNAcentral